RNAcentral lists this ribosomal RNA (373 nucleotides) under uncultured bacterium. RNAcentral's name for it is "bacterial SSU rRNA". It matches the Rfam family "Bacterial small subunit ribosomal RNA", at positions 523 to 898 of the family's 1533-position model. The record is from RNAcentral.
AUACGGAGGAUGCGAGCGUUAUCCGGAUUUAUUGGGUUUAAAGGGUGCGUAGGCGGCUUUAUAAGUCAGUGGUGAAAUGUAUCGGCUUAACCGAUAAAUUGCCGUUGAUACUGUUAAGCUUGAAUACGGUUGCCGUGGGAGGAAUGUGUGGUGUAGCGGUGAAAUGCAUAGAUAUCACACAGAACACCGAUUGCGAAGGCAUCUCACGAAGCCGGCAUUGACGCUGAGGCACGAAAGUGUGGGGAUCAAACAUGAUUAGAUACCCUGGUAGUCCACACAGUAAACGAUGAUAACUAGCUGUUUGCGAUAUACAGUAAGUGGCUAAGCGAAAGCGAUAAGUUAUCCACCUGGGGAGUACGACCGCAAGGUUGAA